Cucurbita moschata (crookneck pumpkin) is the source of this 704-nucleotide long non-coding RNA. RefSeq lists it as uncharacterized. NCBI's taxonomy places the organism in Eukaryota, Viridiplantae, Streptophyta, Magnoliopsida, Cucurbitales, Cucurbitaceae. The record is from RefSeq and is a predicted model, not a curated record. The transcript has 2 exons.
AUACUCUAGUCGAAAAACCAUCAUGAGAUUCUUCAAAGGUAAUGAAGAAUUGCUACCAACUUCAAAAAGAGCUCUAAUAUAUCCUUCAUAAGAUUCUUCAAGAAAAAACAUUCAGCUAUCAAAACUUGAUUUAUCAAACCAAAUGCCUCCUUGUCUAAACUGAAAAUACUGAUAUAGGUAUCGUCAUUAUCUUUCAUCUUCCAAAGUGCAACUACUUAUAUUUUUCCUCGUUAACCAAAACCAAACCAGGACAAAGUAUUAUGCACAUUUAGGCUUCACCUUUAACUUAUCUUCGAAAUCUGAGAAGAACUUCCAUUUGAAUUCUCAGCCAUCCUCACCGCACUAAUCAAAUUUCUUCCUUAAAUGCUGUUAGAUAGAGGGUCAUGGGAAAACCUUUGCAUAAUCUUCUACCGUAAACAAUGGGAAAGGCCUCACUAUAAAAAAUUUAUGCAUUGCACUUCGGUAAAACACUACAGCCUUCUUGCAUUGAACAAAAAGGUGAUGUCAAGAUUUCAAUGCUUGAUGAAAAGAAGGCACUAAUGAGGCGUAUUGGGCAAUGGAAUUUCCUCUGAUCCAUCAUUUUCUUAAUUGUUAUGAUUUAUGAAAAAACUCACAAGCCCCUCAUCAUGUCUCACACAGACCAAGAACAAAGGAAGACAUUAAGCAAAUGAAAAUAUACAAAAACAAAACAGAGGAAAUCAAAA